GAUGAAGAACGUAGCGAAAUGCGAUAAGUAGUGUGAAUUGCAGAAUUCAGUGAAUCAUCGAAUCUUUGAACGCACAUUGCGCCCCUUGGUAUUCCAUGGGGCAUGCCUGUUCGAGCGUCAUUUGAACCUUCAAGCUCUGCUUGGUGUUGGGUGAUUGUCUAUCUUUAUAGACUCGCCUUAAAGUCAUUGGCAGCCGGCAUAUUGGCCUGGGAGCGCAGCACAAGUCGCGCUUCUUGUCAUGAAUGUUGGCGUCCAGUAAGUCUACAUAUUUUGCUCUUGACCUCGGAUCAGGUAGGGAUACCCGCUGAACUUAAGCAUAUCAAUAAGCGGAGGA
RNAcentral lists this unclassified non-coding RNA (334 nucleotides) under soil metagenome. RNAcentral's name for it is "partial contains 5.8S ribosomal RNA, internal transcribed spacer 2, and large subunit ribosomal RNA". The stretch from base 1 to 120 matches the Rfam family "5.8S ribosomal RNA", at positions 35 to 154 of the family's 154-position model. The record is from RNAcentral.